This 264-nucleotide long non-coding RNA is filed under the name Cyanistes caeruleus (blue tit). RNAcentral describes it as "lncRNA (ENSCCEG00000008685.1)". The record is from RNAcentral. Lineage: Eukaryota; Metazoa; Chordata; Aves; Passeriformes; Paridae.
CCUGGAAAAAGAAUACACCAGUACAGAGAUGACUCUUCUAUGCCUGCAGGUAGCUUCUGCCCUGUCAAUUGGCAAGUGUGGCUCAGUAAGUGUCUUAUCUGGAAUUCAUUUACAGAGCUCAUGAAGCAAAAAAUUCAGAUAUGGAGCCUAAAAAGCAGUACAUGUGCCUUGUUCUGGCACCAGAUGAGGAAGAACAGCAGUCAAGUGCUGGCCCCCAGAUGCCCCACAGUCCCUUGCAGCUGCAGAAGACAAGACCCAACCUGA